GACGAACGCUGGCGGCGUGCUUAACACAUGCAAGUCGAACGGUGAAGCCCCAGCUUGCUGGAGUGGAUCAGUGGCGAACGGGUGAGUAACACGUGAGCAACCUGCCCCUGACUCUGGAAUAAGCGCUGGAAACGGCGGCUAAUACUGGAUACGAGAAGGGUCCGCAUGGGCACUUGCUGGAAAGUGUUUCGGUUGGGGAUGGGCUCGCGGCCUAUCAGCUUGUUGGUGAGGUAAUGGCUCACCAAGGCGACGACGGGUAGCCGGCCUGAGAGGGCGACCGGCCACGCUGGGACUGAGACACGGCCCAUACUCCUACCGGAGGCAGCAGUGGGGAAUAUUGCACAAUGGGCGAAAGCCUGAUGCAGCGACGCCGCGUGAGGGAUGACGGCCUUCGGGUUGUAAACCUCUUUCAGCAGGGAAGAAGCGAAAGUGACGGUACCUGCAGAAGAAGCACCGGCUAACUACGUG
Molecule: ribosomal RNA, 468 nt
Filed under: uncultured bacterium
Lineage: Bacteria
Description: partial 16S ribosomal RNA
Rfam family: Bacterial small subunit ribosomal RNA
Source: RNAcentral